UACAGAGGGGGCAAGCGUUGUUCGGAAUUACUGGGCGUAAAGGGCGCGUAGGCGGCCGCCUAAGUCAGACGUGAAAUCCCUCGGCUCAACCGGGGAACUGCGUCUGAUACUGGGUGGCUUGAAUCCGGGAGAGGGAUGCGGAAUUCCAGGUGUAGCGGUGAAAUGCGUAGAUAUCUGGAGGAACACCGGUGGCGAAGGCGGCAUCCUGGACCGGCAUUGACGCUGAGGUGCGAAAGCGUGGGGAGCAAACAGG
This 253-nucleotide ribosomal RNA is filed under the name uncultured bacterium. RNAcentral's name for it is "partial 16S ribosomal RNA". It matches the Rfam family "Bacterial small subunit ribosomal RNA", at positions 524 to 776 of the family's 1533-position model. The record is from RNAcentral.